This 1429-nucleotide ribosomal RNA is filed under the name Staphylococcus aureus. RNAcentral describes it as "partial 23S ribosomal RNA". It matches the Rfam family "Bacterial large subunit ribosomal RNA", at positions 1349 to 2773 of the family's 2925-position model. The record is from RNAcentral. Lineage: Bacteria; Bacillati; Bacillota; Bacilli; Caryophanales; Staphylococcaceae.
GGUUUCCAGAGGAAGGCUCGUCCGCUCUGGGUUAGUCGGGUCCUAAGCUGAGGCCGACAGGCGUAGGCGAUGGAUAACAGGUUGACAUUCCUGUACCACCUAUAAUCGUUUUAAUCGAUGGGGGGACGCAGUAGGAUAGGCGAAGCGUGCGAUUGGAUUGCACGUCUAAGCAGUAAGGCUGAGUAUUAGGCAAAUCCGGUACUCAUUAAGGCUGAGCUGUGAUGGGGAGAAGACAUUGUGUCUUCGAGUCGUUGAUUUCACACUGCCGAGAAAAGCCUCUAGAUAGAAAAUAGGUGCCCGUACCGCAAACCGACACAGGUAGUCAAGAUGAGAAUUCUAAGGUGAGCGAGCGAACUCUCGUUAAGGAACUCGGCAAAAUGACCCCGUAACUUCGGGAGAAGGGGUGCUCUUUAGGGUUAACGCCCAGAAGAGCCGCAGUGAAUAGGCCCAAGCGACUGUUUAUCAAAAACACAGGUCUCUGCUAAACCGUAAGGUGAUGUAUAGGGGCUGACGCCUGCCCGGUGCUGGAAGGUUAAGAGGAGUGGUUAGCUUCUGCGAAGCUACGAAUCGAAGCCCCAGUAAACGGCGGCCGUAACUAUAACGGUCCUAAGGUAGCGAAAUUCCUUGUCGGGUAAGUUCCGACCCGCACGAAAGGCGUAACGAUUUGGGCACUGUCUCAACGAGAGACUCGGUGAAAUCAUAGUACCUGUGAAGAUGCAGGUUACCCGCGACAGGACGGAAAGACCCCGUGGAGCUUUACUGUAGCCUGAUAUUGAAAUUCGGCACAGCUUGUACAGGAUAGGUAGGAGCCUUUGAAACGUGAGCGCUAGCUUACGUGGAGGCGCUGGUGGGAUACUACCCUAGCUGUGUUGGCUUUCUAACCCGCACCACUUAUCGUGGUGGGAGACAGUGUCAGGCGGGCAGUUUGACUGGGGCGGUCGCCUCCUAAAAGGUAACGGAGGCGCUCAAAGGUUCCCUCAGAAUGGUUGGAAAUCAUUCAUAGAGUGUAAAGGCAUAAGGGAGCUUGACUGCGAGACCUACAAGUCGAGCAGGGUCGAAAGACGGACUUAGUGAUCCGGUGGUUCCGCAUGGAAGGGCCAUCGCUCAACGGAUAAAAGCUACCCCGGGGAUAACAGGCUUAUCUCCCCCAAGAGUUCACAUCGACGGGGAGGUUUGGCACCUCGAUGUCGGCUCAUCGCAUCCUGGGGCUGUAGUCGGUCCCAAGGGUUGGGCUGUUCGCCCAUUAAAGCGGUACGCGAGCUGGGUUCAGAACGUCGUGAGACAGUUCGGUCCCUAUCCGUCGUGGGCGUAGGAAAUUUGAGAGGAGCUGUCCUUAGUACGAGAGGACCGGGAUGGACAUACCUCUGGUGUACCAGUUGUCGUGCCAACGGCAUAGCUGGGUAGCUAUGUGUGGACGGGAUAAGUGCUG